GGUGAACGCUGGCGGCGUGCUUAAGACAUGCAAGUCGAACGCAGUCUUCGGACUGAGUGGCGCACGGGUGAGUAACACGUAACUGACCUACCCCCAAGUCGCGGAUAACUGGCCGAAAGGUCAGCUAAUACGUGAUGUGAUGUCCCCUUUCUGGGGGGCCAUUAAAGGUUUACUGCUUGGGGAUGGGGUUGCGUGCCAUCAGCUAGUUGGCGGGGUAAAGGCCCACCAAGGACACGACGGAUAGCCGGCCUGAGAGGGUGGCCGGCCACAGUGGCACGGUGACACGGGUCCCACUCCUGCGGGAGUCAGCAGGUAGGAAUCUUCCACAAGGGCGAAAGCCUGAGGGAGCGACGCCGCGUGAGGGAUGUAGGUUCUCGGAUCGUAAACCUCUGAAUCAGGGACGAAAGACGCGUAAGCGGGAUGACGGUACCUGAGUAAUAGCACCGGCUAACUCCGUGCCAGCCGCCGCAGUAA
RNAcentral lists this ribosomal RNA (474 nucleotides) under uncultured bacterium. Its description in RNAcentral is "partial 16S ribosomal RNA". It matches the Rfam family "Bacterial small subunit ribosomal RNA", at positions 28 to 523 of the family's 1533-position model. The record is from RNAcentral.